Molecule: ribosomal RNA, 225 nt
Filed under: uncultured Acinetobacter sp.
Lineage: Bacteria; Pseudomonadati; Pseudomonadota; Gammaproteobacteria; Moraxellales; Moraxellaceae
Description: partial 16S ribosomal RNA
Rfam family: Bacterial small subunit ribosomal RNA
Source: RNAcentral
UGCGUAGGCGGCUUCUUAAGUCGGAUGUGAAAUCCCCGAGCUUAACUUGGGAAUUGCAUUCGAUACUGGUGAGCUAGAGUAUGGGAGAGGAUGGUAGAAUUCCAGGUGUAGCGGUGAAAUGCGUAGAGAUCUGGAGGAAUACCGAUGGCGAAGGCAGCCAUCUGGCCUAAUACUGACGCUGAGGUACGAAAGCAUGGGGAGCAAACAGGAAUAGAUACCCUAGUC